This 465-nucleotide ribosomal RNA is filed under the name Vreelandella stevensii. RNAcentral's name for it is "partial 16S ribosomal RNA". It matches the Rfam family "Bacterial small subunit ribosomal RNA", at positions 338 to 795 of the family's 1533-position model. Lineage: Bacteria; Pseudomonadati; Pseudomonadota; Gammaproteobacteria; Oceanospirillales; Halomonadaceae. The record is from RNAcentral.
CCUACGGGUGGCUGCAGUGGGGAAUAUUGGACAAUGGGGGGAACCCUGAUCCAGCCAUGCCGCGUGUGUGAAGAAGGCCCUCGGGUUGUAAAGCACUUUCAGUGAGGAAGAACGCCUGGUGGUUAAUACCCAUCAGGAAAGACAUCACUCACAGAAGAAGCACCGGCUAACUCCGUGCCAGCAGCCGCGGUAAUACGGAGGGUGCGAGCGUUAAUCGGAAUUACUGGGCGUAAAGCGCGCGUAGGUGGCUUGAUAAGCCGGUUGUGAAAGCCCCGGGCUCAACCUGGGAACGGCAUCCGGAACUGUCAAGCUAGAGUGCAGGAGAGGAAGGUAGAAUUCCCGGCGUAGCGGUGAAAUGCGUAGAGAUCGGGAGGAAUACCAGUGGCGAAGGCGGCCUUCUGGACUGACACUGACACUGAGGUGCGAAAGCGUGGGUAGCAAACAGGAUUAGAUACCCUGGUAGUC